Molecule: ribosomal RNA, 1440 nt
Filed under: uncultured organism
Description: SSU rRNA
Rfam family: Bacterial small subunit ribosomal RNA
Source: RNAcentral
CGCUAGCUACAGGCUUAACACAUGCAAGUCGAGGGGCAGCAUUUUAGUUUGCUUGCAAACUGAAGAUGGCGACCGGCGCACGGGUGAGUAACACGUAUCCAACCUGCCGAUAACUCCGGAAUAGCCUUUCGAAAGAAAGAUUAAUACCGGAUAGCAUACGAAUAUCGCAUGAUAUUUUUAUUAAAGAAUUUCGGUUAUCGAUGGGGAUGCGUUCCAUUAGUUUGUUGGCGGGGUAACGGCCCACCAAGACUACGAUGGAUAGGGGUUCUGAGAGGAAGGUCCCCCACAUUGGAACUGAGACACGGUCCAAACUCCUACGGGAGGCAGCAGUGAGGAAUAUUGGUCAAUGGGCGAGAGCCUGAACCAGCCAAGUAGCGUGAAGGAUGAAGGCUCUAUGGGUCGUAAACUUCUUUUAUAUGGAAAUAAAGUUUUCCACGUGUGGAAUUUUGUAUGUACCAUAUGAAUAAGGAUCGGCUAACUCCGUGCCAGCAGCCGCGGUAAUACGGAGGAUCCGAGCGUUAUCCGGAUUUAUUGGGUUUAAAGGGAGCGUAGGUGGAUUGUUAAGUCAGUUGUGAAAGUUUGCGGCUCAACCGUAAAAUUGCAGUUGAAACUGGCAGUCUUGAGUACAGUAGAGGUGGGCGGAAUUCGUGGUGUAGCGGUGAAAUGCUUAGAUAUCACGAAGAACUCCGAUUGCGAAGGCAGCUCACUAGACUGUCACUGACACUGAUGCUCGAAAGUGUGGGUAUCAAACAGGAUUAGAUACCCUGGUAGUCCACACAGUAAACGAUGAAUACUCGCUGUUUGCGAUAUACAGUAAGCGGCCAAGCGAAAGCAUUAAGUAUUCCACCUGGGGAGUACGCCGGCAACGGUGAAACUCAAAGGAAUUGACGGGGGCCCGCACAAGCGGAGGAACAUGUGGUUUAAUUCGAUGAUACGCGAGGAACCUUACCCGGGCUUAAAUUGCAACAGAAUAUAUUGGAAACAGUAUAGCCGUAAGGCUGUUGUGAAGGUGCUGCAUGGUUGUCGUCAGCUCGUGCCGUGAGGUGUCGGCUUAAGUGCCAUAACGAGCGCAACCCUUAUCUUUAGUUACUAACAGGUCAUGCUGAGGACUCUAGAGAGACUGCCGUCGUAAGAUGUGAGGAAGGUGGGGAUGACGUCAAAUCAGCACGGCCCUUACGUCCGGGGCUACACACGUGUUACAAUGGGGGGUACAGAAGGCGGCUACCUGGUGACAGGAUGCUAAUCCCAAAAACCUCUCUCAGUUCGGAUCGAAGUCUGCAACCCGACUUCGUGAAGCUGGAUUCGCUAGUAAUCGCGCAUCAGCCAUGGCGCGGUGAAUACGUUCCCGGGCCUUGUACACACCGCCCGUCAAGCCAUGAAAGCCGGGGGUACCUGAAGUACGUAACCGCAAGGAGCGUCCUAGGGUAAAACCGGUAAUUG